GUGGGGAAUAUUGGACAAUGGGCGAAAGCCUGAUCCAGCCAUGCCGCGUGUGUGAAGAAGGUCUUCGGAUUGUAAAGCACUUUAAGUUGGGAGGAAGGGUAGUAACCUAAUACGUUGCUACUUUGACGUUACCGACAGAAUAAGCACCGGCUAACUUCGUGCCAGCAGCCGCGGUAAUACGAAGGGUGCAAGCGUUAAUCGGAAUUACUGGGCGUAAAGCGCGCGUAGGUGGUUUUGUAAGUUGGAGGUGAAAUCCCCGGGCUCAACCUGGGAACUGCCUCCAAAACUGCAUGACUAGAGUACGGUAGAGGGUAGUGGAAUUUCCUGUGUAGCGGUGAAAUGCGUAGAUAUAGGAAGGAACACCAGUGGCGAAGGCGACCACCUGGACUGAUACUGACACUGAGGUGCGAAAGCGUGGGGAGCAAACAGGAUUAGAUACCCUUGUAGUCC
RNAcentral lists this ribosomal RNA (450 nucleotides) under uncultured bacterium. RNAcentral's name for it is "partial 16S ribosomal RNA". It matches the Rfam family "Bacterial small subunit ribosomal RNA", at positions 354 to 796 of the family's 1533-position model. The record is from RNAcentral.